ACGUUCAACUUAUCGUCAAUGUUGCUCUUGCAGGUUGUAUGGAAAAGCACCACUAAAAUUGGUGCAGCUCUGACCAAAAUAGUUUCAGAUAAUGGGAUGACACACACGUUUGUUGUGGCGCGCUAUUCGCCAGCAGGGAAUGUUCAAGGCCAAUUUGCUGCAAAUGUGAAGCCAAAGUCCUCAUAGAUCUCACUAGUCUGCUUAGAAAUAGAUGGAUCUCAUGGAAGAUGUUAAUGACAAAUAAAUUGUAAUAGUUGCUGACGAAAGGAUAAAUAAAACAUAGUAGCAAGAGGG
Molecule: long non-coding RNA, 294 nt
Organism: Stylophora pistillata
Lineage: Eukaryota; Metazoa; Cnidaria; Anthozoa; Scleractinia; Pocilloporidae
Source: RefSeq, a predicted model, not a curated record